Molecule: ribosomal RNA, 429 nt
Filed under: uncultured bacterium
Lineage: Bacteria
Description: bacterial SSU rRNA
Rfam family: Bacterial small subunit ribosomal RNA
Source: RNAcentral
UGGGGAAUAUUGCGCAAUGGCCGAAAGGCUGACGCAGCGACGCCGCGUGUGGGAGGAAGCCCUUCGGGGUGUAAACCACUGUCGAGGGGGACGAAUCCCGGGCGGGCGAAUAGCCCGAACGGUUGACGGUACCCCUAAAGGAAGCACCGGCUAACUCCGUGCCAGCAGCCGCGGUAAGACGGAGGGUGCAAGCGUUGUUCGGAAUUACUGGGCGUAAAGCGCGGGCAGGUGGCCUUUUAAGUCCUUUGUGAAAUCCCGGGGCUCAACUCCGGAUGUGCAUAGGAUACUGGAAGGCUCGAGACUGGUAGAGGCGAGCGGAAUUCCUGGUGUAGCGGUGGAAUGCGUAGAUAUCAGGAAGAACACCGGUGGCGAAGGCGGCUCGCUGGGCCAGUUCUGACACUCAGCCGCGAAAGCGUGGGGAGCAAACAG